Molecule: non-coding RNA, 1223 nt
Organism: Kogia breviceps (pygmy sperm whale)
Lineage: Eukaryota; Metazoa; Chordata; Mammalia; Artiodactyla; Physeteridae
Source: RefSeq, a predicted model, not a curated record
CUUUCACUUCCCCCACCCACAGCUCCCAGACCCACGCCCCCCUUGGCUCCUACUCAGUCCCCAGGAAUCUGGUGCCAGCUGCUGUGUUCCAGCCUUCCCGAGGCUCCUCCUGGUGUCCCAGAAACCCAGGAAAUCGAUGCUCAGGACUCCCAGAGAUGAUGGCAUCUAGAAGAUGACAAAACUGAGUUUAAAUUAUUUGCCCGAACCAGCUGAUAACCAGCAAAAGAGUUUGGAAAGCACUCAAACCCAAUCCACAUAAGCCUCAUUUCUUCAUGCAGCUGACACCAUGCCAUAAACGAAUGGCAGUGGUCCGUGGACAGACUUCAGAGGUUCCUUAAAUCUUAUAAGAAUGUGUGCGAAUUCCUGUGUCGUCAAAGUCUCAGAAAGUAAAUCCUAAGUGAGAAAGUCCCUCUCACUCAACCUUUUCUUCUCUGCAUUUCACCCACGGGCCUGAAGCUCUUAUCAGGACAUGAUGGCCUAUUACAUACAACCUGUAUGCAUCUGCUUGUUGUUCACUUCCACCAUUAGAAGAGCUCCUCGAGGGCAGGGAGGACUGAAACUUCUCCCUGCGAUUGUCACCAUCACCUAGCACCCCACACAGUAGAUGCUCAAUAAAUGACCAUUAUAUGGGCAAAUAGAUAAACAAAUGAGUGGUUUGGAGUUUCCCUACCUAGAGAUCUUCAAAGGAGAGCAGACAACCAACUCUUCUGUGUAGUCCAAAGACAUUAUUCGCCUGCCCAAAGGCUGAGGGCUGUGCCCAAUGCUUUCUCAAGGUAACUCAGCUUCUAUAAUUAGAUUAUACCAAGAUACCAGUUCAAGGUUCUUUUCUCUUAUCGGCUAAGCAUUUAUUGACUACCGGCCAUGUCCAAGGUACUGAGCCAUUGUUCUCUAAAUCUAUUAGAGAUCCUAUUCUAUUAUUUUCUUCUAUGACUCCAUGUUGACAUAAGAUGCAAUAGUGUCCCCACCGCAGACACUCUUAGGUGAGGUCAGCCAAGGCAGAUGGGGAAGAAUCAGCAUUGUCUAAUCUAAAUGGAUAAGCUGGCAGAGUGGGUUCGCCUGUGUUAAUAUUCCAUACCAUCCAGUCCCACUCAGCCUCCUCCCAGAUAAUAAACACAGCAUUUUUAGCUACCAAUAUCUGCUGCCUAUUAAUUGGUAUUAAAAUCUCCAUUUACUUCUUGCUUUCCCUUCCCUCUCCCACUCAUCCACCUGUUAUGUCAAACUGG